AGAGUUUGAUCCUGGCUCAGGACGAACGCUGGCGGCGUGCUUAACACAUGCAAGUCGAACGAGACGAUUGAAAGCUUGCUUUUGAAAGUCGAGUGGCAAACGGGUGAGUAACGCGUAGACNACCUGCCGUAAAGAUGGGGACAACAGUCCGAAAGGACUGCUAAUACCGAAUGUUGUGGAACUUCCGCAUGGGAGCUCUACUAAAGAUGGCCUCUACUUGUAAGCUAUCGCUUUACGAUGGGUCUGCGUCUGAUUAGCUAGUUGGUGGGGUAACGGCCUACCAAGGCGACGAUCAGUAGCCGGUCUGAGAGGAUGAACGGCCACAUUGGAACUGAGACACGGUCCAGACUCCUACGGGAGGCAGCAGUGGGGAAUCUUCCGCAAUGGGCGCAAGCCUGACGGAGCAACGCCGCGUGAGUGAAGAAGGGUUUCGACUCGUAAAGCUCUGUUGUCGGGGACGAAUGUGGAGGUUGUGAAUAACAGCUUCCAAUGACGGUACCUGACGAGGAAGCCACGGCUAACUACGUGCCAGCAGCCGCGGUAAUACGUAGGUGGCGAGCGUUGUCCGGAAUUAUUGGGCGUACAGGGAGCGCAGGCGGGAGGUCAAGUCUAUCUUAAAAGUGCAGGGCUCAACCCCGUGAGGGGAUGGAAACUGGUCUUCUUGAGUGCAGGAGAGGAAAGCGGAAUUCCUAGUGUAGCGGUGAAAUGCGUAGAUUUUAGGAGGAACACCAGUGGCGAAGGCGGCUUUCUGGGACUGUAACUGACGCUGAGGCUCGAAAGCGUGCGGAGCCGACCGGAUUGGAUUCCCUGGUUGUUCCACGCCGCUUAACGAUGAAUGCCUAGGUGUAUGGAGGUUUCGACCCUCUCUUUUGCCGGAUU
Molecule: ribosomal RNA, 879 nt
Filed under: human gut metagenome
Description: bacterial SSU rRNA
Rfam family: Bacterial small subunit ribosomal RNA
Source: RNAcentral